This 376-nucleotide ribosomal RNA is filed under the name uncultured bacterium. RNAcentral describes it as "bacterial SSU rRNA". It matches the Rfam family "Bacterial small subunit ribosomal RNA", at positions 524 to 898 of the family's 1533-position model. The record is from RNAcentral.
UACGUAGGGCGCGAGCGUUGUCCGGAAUUAUUGGGCGUAAAGAGCUCGUAGGCGGUUUGUCGCGUCGGAUGUGAAAGCCCAUGGCUUAACUGUGGGUCUGCAUUCGAUACGGGCAGACUAGAGGUAGGUAGGGGAGCAUGGAAUUCCCGGUGUAGCGGUGAAAUGCGCAGAUAUCGGGAGGAACACCGGUGGCGAAGGCGGUGCUCUGGGCCUUACCUGACGCUGAGGAGCGAAAGCGUGGGGAGCGAACAGGAUUAGAUACCCUGGUAGUCCACGCCGUAAACGUUGGGCGCUAGGUGUGGGGUUCUUCCACGGAUUCCGCGCCGUAGCUAACGCAUUAAGCGCCCCGCCUGGGGAGUACGGCCGCAAGGCUAAA